Molecule: long non-coding RNA, 2703 nt
Organism: Equus caballus (horse)
Lineage: Eukaryota; Metazoa; Chordata; Mammalia; Perissodactyla; Equidae
Source: Ensembl
AGUGCCCGCUGGAGGUGGUCUUUAACAGCUAAGAGAACACACAACUGCUUUGAAUUAUGCAUCCUAAUGAGCAUAGAGGGCUACAUUCAAGCAGAUAUUUAUGAAAGCAAAACAUGGUACGCAAAAUGACCAAGACUAGGAUAACGUUACAUAUCACUGUGUUUCUGCAACAACAGAUGCAACUAUUCAGGAUUGGAGUUUUAAGUAAACAAUACGCCACAAGGAAGUGUGACAGGGUUUAAGAAUAUAGGCUGCUGUGAUUUAGCUGUCCCUUGAGGAGAGGAGCACACAUCAAGAAGGCUUUCAGGAGUGUUGUUCCAUUUUAAUUUACCAGGAGGAGAAAAGAAUCUAUUUUUCAUUAGAGUUCCUGGUGGUAACCACAGAGACAGCCAGUAACUUGGUAAAUACAAUAACGACUCCAUGAAAAUCAUGAAUGAAGGAUAUAAUUUUUAAAAGAUCAACCCAUGAGGAUAAUUUCCAGGAUGACCUACACAAGGCAUUUCAGUCCCUGAAGCAACAAACUGAAGAGAAAAUUUGAGCAAAUGGGCUUUUGAACACCUCUUAGACCCCUGGCUCUUCCCCUGCCUAUGAAGAGAAUUGGCCCUAAAGGGAAGAAUUCUAUUGCUUUUGUAUAAUCUACAGCCCUCAGGAGAGGGUUUCUUGCUACUCUGAAUAACCCUAUUAUGUAGCACAACUUCAGUGAACCAACAGUGAUAUUUUGCUAUGCAGCUCUGAUUCCUAUUUAAUUGAAUCAUCCAUUUUUUUAAAAAAAAAAUAGCUUUCUUUAGGUAUAAUUUACAUACCACAAAAUUCACCCAUUCAUAGUAUACAGUUGAGUAAUUUUUAGUGUAUUCUCAGAGUUGUGCAACCAUCACCACUAUCUAACUUUCAAACAUUCCCAUCUUCCCCAAAAGAAACCCUGUACACAUGAGCAGACAUUCUUCAUUUCCACCCCCACUACCCCAACCCAGCACUAGGUAACAAUCUAUUUUCUGGCUCUAUAAAUUUGUCUAUUCUGGACUUUUCAUACGAAUGGAAUCAUACAAUAUGUGACCUUUUGUGACUGGCUUCCUUCACCUAGCAUAAUGUUUUCAAGAUUCAUCCAUGUUGUAGCAUGUAUCAGUAAUACUUCACUCCUUCUUAUUGCCAAAUGAUAUUCCAUUAUAUGGAUGUACCACCAUUGUUUAUCCAUUCAUCAGUUGAUGGACAUUUGCAUUGUUUCCACUUUCUGUCUAUUAUGAAUAAUGGUGCUAUGAAUAAUGCUUGUUGUUAGUGUACAACUUUUUGUGUGGAUAUAUGUUUUCAAUUCUCUUGGGUAUAUCCUGUAGGGGAGGAAGAGAGUUCCUCUACCCUCUAGGUCCUUCUGGCUGGGCUAUGAAUUAAAUUGACAUGAGACAGAAGAACAGGAGAAAAUCAAACAAAGCUUUAUAACAUGUAUACCUGGGAGAAACCCGGGAAAACUGAGCAACUUAGCCAGAAUGGCCAAAACUACCACCUUAAAUAGCAUCUUUAGCUAAAGACAAAGGAGGAUGUUGGAGGUGGAGGGAGUCAGUAAUGGGAGAUUACCAGAAAAUUAUGGUAAACAAGAGUAAGGUUAUGAUGCAGAUUUAAGUCCUUGGCUUCCACACUGAUAAGAGUUUCUAGAGAUAAGGUCAUCCCCCCUUCUUCCUGGUACAGAGAGGGAGACAUCUUUACAAAUGGAGAGUUCCCCUAGAAAUGUAAAUAUCUCUUACAAACGGUAACUUCUACUUGGUUUUCAGAGCUUCUCCCCUGCCUGCAGUUUCUUAAAAGUAACGAGCCCAAAAUAAUCCUCAUGCCAGAGAAACACAUUUUGGGGUGGCCAAUUCUGAUCCCCCAUUCCUCACUGUGGAAUUGCUGCGUCAUACGGUAAUUCUACAUUUAACAUUUUGAGGAACUACCAAACUAUUUCCAAAGUGGCUACACCAGUUUUAUUCCCAUCAGCAAGGUAUGAGGGUUCCAAUUUCUCCACGUCUUCACCAACAGUUGUUAUUGCCACCCUCAUGGGUAUGAAGUUGUAUCUUGUUAUGGUUUUGAUUUGCCUUCCCCUAAUGAUGGCAAUCAUCUUUUCAUGUGCUUAUUGGCCAUUUGUGUAUCUUCCUUGGAGAAAUGUUCAUUCACAUCUUUUGUCCACUUUUAAUUGUAUUAUUUGUCCUUUUAUUAUUGAGUUGUAAGAGUUCUUAAUAUAUUCUGGAUAUAAGUUAUUUGUCAGAUACAUAAUUUGCUAAUAUUUUCUCCCAUUCUCUGGGCUGUCAUUUUACUUUUUUGUUGGUUUCUUUUGAAGCACAAAAAUCUUUAAUUUUGAGGUAGUCCAAUUUGUCUAUUUUUAUUUUUGUUGCUUAUUCUUUUGGAGUCAUAUCCAAGAAAACACUGCCUAUCCCAAGGUCACAAAGGUUUACAUUUAUGUUUUCUUCUAAGAGUUUUAUACUUUUAGCUUUUAACUUUAGGUCUAGGAUCUGUUUUGGAUUAAUUUUUGUAUAUGGUAUGAGGUGGUGUCUCACUUUAUUCUUUUUUGAGUAGAUAUCUGGUUAUCCCAACACCAUUUGUUGAAAUUGCAUAAGCUUUUAAACCACAUACUAGAAAGCUGUUAAGUUAGCAGUUACAUUAGCUGUCUGUCACUGAGCAUCCGAGUAAGCAAAUUCAACUCUGGGAGCUUUCGGAAUCAGUAUUUGUUUCUGUAGAUUU